AUAUAAUUUCAUAUAAUCUUAACUGCUUUUAUAUGAAAUUAUAUGGAUAAAUUAUUAGGAUUUAAAAGUUGUUAAGAUUAUAUGGGAUAUAGAAAGAAACAGUAAAUAAGUGAAAGACGGUGAAUGAUUUACCGUUUUUAAAAGAAAUGGGAGAAAGCGGUGAACGAUUCACCGCCUUUAAAAGAAAUAAGAGAAAACGGCGAACGAUUCACCGUCUUUAUAAGAAAAUCCUGACGUGGCGCCUACGUGGCGAAAGGAGGGUUAGUUUUACAAAUAAAAUUUUCAUAUAGUUAUUUUGCCAAUUACAAUUUUUUAGAGGGUUAUUUUAUAAAAAAGCCCGAUUUCGAAUCACAAUAGUUAGACUCAUUAUAUAUUAC
Molecule: long non-coding RNA, 377 nt
Filed under: Ananas comosus (pineapple)
Lineage: Eukaryota; Viridiplantae; Streptophyta; Magnoliopsida; Poales; Bromeliaceae
Description: long non-coding RNA (ACOM_LNC014069)
Source: RNAcentral